RNAcentral lists this transfer RNA (74 nucleotides) under Nanobdellota archaeon. RNAcentral's name for it is "tRNA-Ala". It matches the Rfam family "tRNA". Rfam says of the family: Transfer RNA (tRNA) molecules are approximately 80 nucleotides in length. Their secondary structure includes four short double-helical elements and three loops (D, anti-codon, and T loops). The record is from RNAcentral. RNAcentral also lists the same sequence under 1 other name. Lineage: Archaea; Nanobdellati; Nanobdellota.
GGGCCUGUAGCUCAGCCUGGUAGAGCAUCGCCCUUGCAAGGCGGGGGCCUCGGGUUCAAAUCCCGACGGGUCCA